This is a small nucleolar RNA of Echinops telfairi (small Madagascar hedgehog), 82 nucleotides long. NCBI's taxonomy places the organism in Eukaryota, Metazoa, Chordata, Mammalia, Afrosoricida, Tenrecidae. The record is from Ensembl.
GGUCAAUGAUGUGUUGGCAUGUAUUAUCUGAAUUUUCUGCUGAUGUGUGAAUAACACUUAGCUCUAGUUACGCUGAGACCUU